Molecule: unclassified non-coding RNA, 461 nt
Filed under: Hevea brasiliensis (rubber tree)
Lineage: Eukaryota; Viridiplantae; Streptophyta; Magnoliopsida; Malpighiales; Euphorbiaceae
Source: RNAcentral
GCUAGCUUAGUUAACUUGGUGAAAUUGGACUUGGAGAGGUGUCCUGGCAUUGGCGAUGGACUUGUUCAUCUCAAAGGGUUGACAAAGUUGGAGUCUCUUAGUAUCAAAUGGUGUAACUGCAUAAAGGAUGCAGAUAUGAAGCAUCUUUCAGGGUUGACAAACUUGAAAGGAUUACAAAUUUCAUGCAGCAAGGUUACAGAUGUGGGUAUUUCUUAUUUGAAAGGUCUCCAUAAGCUUAAUCUAUUAAACUUGGAAGGGUGUCCAGUCACGGCUGCAUGCUUGGAGACUAUCUCAGCUCUUACUUCUUUGUUGUAUUUGAAUCUUAACCGAUGCCAUAUUUCUGAUGAUGGAUGCGAGGGGUUUUCGAAGCUCGGAAAACUAAAGGCGCUAAACUUGGGCUUCAAUGACAUCACGGAUGCAUGCUUGGUGCACCUGAAAGGCUUGACAAAUUUGGAGAGCGU